UCGAACGUUUUAAUUAAGGCUGGUUUAGCUUAUCAUGUAAGUUAAUAGGCUUCGCCUAUAAAGCUCAUAAUUAAAAAGUGGUGUACAGGUGAGUAUAAUAAUAUUUAUGCCGGCCUUAGAGUGAAGAUAAAUUCUUCAUAUAAUAAAGGGAUUAAGUAUUCCCGCUUUAAGAGGAUGAUAAAUAUUUUCGGGAUAGGUAGUAGUGAAGGUUAUGUCUUCACUAGCCUCAACUCCCGUAGUCGAAAUUGAAAGGUUGAUCGACCACAUUGGGUCUGAAAAAAGCCCAAUGCAAGUUAGUACAGCAGUGAGGAAUAUUGGUCAAUGGCCUAACGGCUGAACUGGCAACUUGGAGAAGUGUUAAGUCUUUAUUUUUGUAUUGUAAUAGGCUACCUUUUAAUAAGCUAUAUGUAAAUAUAGUGCUUAAUUAUUAGGCGGAGCUUCCUAACAGACAAAUUAAAGAUUAAAUUAGUAUUGAAUGAAACUUUGUUUAUAUAUCGAUAAUGACGAUAUAUGUAUUAUGUCUUGACCAAUUACGUGCCAGCAGUCGCGGUAAUACGUAAAAGACUAGUGUUAUUCAUCUUAAUUAGGUUUAAAGGGUACUCAAACGGUCUGUUUUGCACAAAAGACUAGAGUUAUAUAGAAGAAGGUAGUACCUUAAGUGUAGAGAUAAAAUUUAGUUAUACUGGAGGGACUUAGAAAAGGCGUAGGCAACCUUCUAAGUAAUAACUGACGUUGAAGGACGAAGGCAUAGAUCACGAACAGGACUAGUAACCCAAGUAGUCUUUGCAGUCAAUGAUGAAUGCCAUAGGUUAGAUAAAAAUUUAGUCUAUAAAUGAAAAUGUAAGCAUUUCACCUCAAGAGUAAUGUGGCAACGCAGGAACUGAAAUCACUAGACCGUUUCUGACACCAGUAGUGAAGUAUGUUAUUUAAUC
This 932-nucleotide ribosomal RNA is filed under the name Beauveria brongniartii. Its description in RNAcentral is "SSU rRNA". It matches the Rfam family "Bacterial small subunit ribosomal RNA", at positions 1 to 951 of the family's 1533-position model. Lineage: Eukaryota; Fungi; Ascomycota; Sordariomycetes; Hypocreales; Cordycipitaceae. The record is from RNAcentral.